AUAUGCUGAGGAGUCCCAUAAUAGGACGAAACGACCAUCCAGUAC
Molecule: non-coding RNA, 45 nt
Organism: Schistosoma rodhaini
Lineage: Eukaryota; Metazoa; Platyhelminthes; Trematoda; Strigeidida; Schistosomatidae
Source: Rfam